UUGUGAAACUGAGCCAUCAACUGUGCCUAGAGAUCACUGAAGUGAAGGACCGGAGACACUAAAGCUAAGAGUUAACGUUUAUUGAGCAUCUACAGUAUACCAAGCCCUCUUCUAGAAACAAAUGAACACAAAGUUCUUGGCACAGUGCCUGGCACAGUCAGGCUCCAUCAAGUUUCAUUUCCUUUCUCCCUGCUAUUAAAUGAGAAAGAGGGCAUGAGGAGGUGGGAGUAAAGGAGCCAGAAAGGGAAGGUAGGAGACUGGCAAGAAGAAGCUCUGGCUGCUCUGGGAUGCAACAUGCAGGUUCCCGCAACCCUCCUGGAGUAGGAGGAGAAGCUGCCCCUCACUGACCACUCAGGAAGGAGAGAAGCUUCCCAUGUCAACGCCCCCAGCUCUCAUCUGGGUCAGAGCCAGCAAUGAGGACAGAUGGAAACUUGAACUACGUGCUGGCAAGAAUGUGGCUGACAACACGGUGACCUGGAUCUGCCUCCAGGGGUGCUGGCAGAGCAGGGCUCUCACGCAGGGUUAGGAGAUGCACAGAAUUCAAGGCUUCCGAGUGACAGUUAGCAGAACCUGAAUGGGCUGCUCAUCAAGGAAAAAGCCCUGAUGGAGUCCAGGAACUCAAGUCCCAGUUCUGGUUCCUUCGCCAUUCAGCUGUGCCAUCAUGGGCACAUCACUUAGCCUCACUGGAGUUCAGUUUCCUCAGUAGUAAAAUGUGGUAAGGCUCCAUGAAGUCAGAUAUCAAACAUUUCCAUUGCUACAUUCUCCAGGCCUAAUCUGCAUCCUCCCAGAGUGGCUCUUCAGUGAACAUCUACUGAAUUGAACAGACAUGCACAGAGCAGAUGGACAGCACUAGGGACUUGUCCUCUGGCCCCAGAGGCCCAUGAAAGAGUAUCCAGGCAGGCUGGACUAUGCUGGGAAGGGGGAAGGCCUGGGCCCUCAUCGAAAGGGAAGGACCCCAAAAGGAAGAGAAACCCAUCAACAUCCUGUUAACUAAACGGAGAGAAAUGCUGUUUAGGGGAAAAAAAAAAAAACAUAAUAAAUAAAAUUCCUGAGAGAAGCUGCUAAGUCAGGGAGCACCACACUCAUCCCCUUCUGCAAGAGAAUGAGAAGAUGGAGCUACAGCUCCCGUCCCACAUCAGCAUCUGGUGUGGCCUUCCCGCCACGGGCCAUGGGUCGGACCUGGCUCCACAGACAAAGGGGCUGCUUAGGCUGGGCUUGAAAUAGGCUGAGUGAAAACCUGCGAGCCCCUGGCUGCUUCCCUGUGCAUGGAAAGGAGCUGUUGGUGAGUAUGGAGAUCUCUGCCCUUGUCAGAGGAAGGCUUCCUCAUCACAAGGCAGGGCAGGUGUCUGUGCCCAAGAGCUGAGCAGAGAACAAGCAGCCAGUGGAGGCUUUCGCCUGAACUGUGCAAUCCUUACCUGAUUGGGAAGUGCAAGUGACAAUUAAUAAAUUAAUAGCGAGUCACUUUAUGUAAAUACCUCUCUUUUUGUACACUAUAUUUAGAGAAACAAACUGCUUUGGCAUUUAGAGAUAAAUUUUAUGUAAGAGUUUAUUGCUGCUUCUGCUGUUGUUACUGUUCAUCAUCCAGAUAAUAAAAGCAAA
RNAcentral lists this long non-coding RNA (1599 nucleotides) under Homo sapiens (human). RNAcentral's name for it is "HSALNT0220262". Lineage: Eukaryota; Metazoa; Chordata; Mammalia; Primates; Hominidae. The record is from RNAcentral.